RNAcentral lists this ribosomal RNA (227 nucleotides) under uncultured bacterium. Its description in RNAcentral is "partial 16S ribosomal RNA". It matches the Rfam family "Bacterial small subunit ribosomal RNA", at positions 118 to 345 of the family's 1533-position model. The record is from RNAcentral.
UGAGCAAUCUGCCUAGAUGUGGGGGAUAGCCGGCCCAACGGCCGGGUAAUACCGCAUACGCUCUCCUGGUGGCAUCACCGGGUGAGGAAACUUUCGAGGCGUCUAGAGGAGCUCGCGGCCUAUCAGCUAGUUGGUGGGGUAAUGGCUCACCAAGGCGACGACGGGCAGCUGGUCUGAGAGGAUGGCCAGCCACAUUGGGACUGAGACACGGCCCAGAUCCGUACGGG